UUCUAGUGCCAAGGUAAGGGCAUGUGAAAGCUACUCGUUGGCCAAAGGAUUAGUAUGUGUAUUUGCAUCUGAUAGCAGGAUACUAGCUAAUGCUGUAUGCGACUACUAGCACAAUUACUUCUUAGCAAAAAUCAUUACCUAAAUUAUUUGUAGAAUGCUCUGCUAGUACUGAUGACCAAUAAGCAAAGAGAUGAAAUCUUAAGUCUGAGAUCGUAAACUGAAACAAGGUUGCUGUGUAUAUAACUUCACCUUAAGCUUGCUGGUGUUUAACUGGAGAAUACUUAGAGCUACUAAAAUUGUGAUUCCAGUUAAAAUGUUUCAUAUUGGUUUACUUCAUUUAAAUUAGUAAGUCAGAUCUUAGAGCAAUAACGUUUUCUCUGACUGAUAAUUGCAUUUUUGGGUAACAAUGUCUUAUUCCUAUUCACGGAUUGCAGUGAGGGAAUGGACUAAUGUACAAAUGGUUUUGGAGGAGGGAAGUGCUGUUCUGGGUUUGCUGUUACCGACAAAGGGAAGCAACGCCUUCUAUAGGCUUAGGUUAGGUGAUUUAAAGGGUGAAGUGGCAGUUAGAAGAGAAGAGAAGCCUCGCAGAGAAGAAAUAAUCAUGGCUAGCCAAAUGUGCUGCCACAACACUCUCAUCAAAACUGAGAGGUGGUGAAAAAGAAUUAUUUGCUUCCUUAGUUGCUGCUGCUGGUUCAUACUCUUGAUGAAACCUAUCUUUUAUUGUUUCUGGUCCAUUUUGUUGUCUUUGAUCCUGCAAUGUUAUACUUCUAGUUCUGAUACAUGGAAAAAAUUGUAUGUGAUCCAUUAUUCUGGUGUGGUGAUGCUGGGAUGCUAUUGAUAUGAGGUUAUAAUUUGGGUUGUAAUUGAUUAUUGUGACUUCUGGGCUGGAAUUGUUGUUUUGGUAAAUGGGUUGUGUGAAAGCUGAA
Molecule: long non-coding RNA, 926 nt
Organism: Panicum virgatum (switchgrass)
Lineage: Eukaryota; Viridiplantae; Streptophyta; Magnoliopsida; Poales; Poaceae
Exons: 2
Source: RefSeq, a predicted model, not a curated record